This 791-nucleotide ribosomal RNA is filed under the name uncultured bacterium. RNAcentral describes it as "bacterial SSU rRNA". It matches the Rfam family "Bacterial small subunit ribosomal RNA", at positions 8 to 794 of the family's 1533-position model. The record is from RNAcentral.
AGAGUUUGAUCAUGGCUCAGGAUGAACGCUGGCGGCGUGCCUAACACAUGCAAGUCGAACGGAGUUCUUAAGGAAUGCGACUUCGGUCAAAUGACUUUUGAACUUAGUGGCGGACGGGUGAGUAACGCGUGAGCAACCUGCCUUUCAGAGGGGGAUAACAUUUGGAAACAGAUGCUAAUACCGCAUAAGAUUACAGUACCGCAUGAUACAGUGAUCAAAGGAGCAAUCCGCUGAAAGAUGGGCUCGCGUCCGAUUAGAUAGUUGGUGAGGUAACGGCUCACCAAGUCGACGAUCGGUAGCCGGACUGAGAGGUUGAACGGCCACAUUGGGACUGAGACACGGCCCAGACUCCUACGGGAGGCAGCAGUGGGGAAUAUUGCACAAUGGGCGAAAGCCUGAUGCAGCAACGCCGCGUGAGGGAAGACGGUUUUCGGAUUGUAAACCUCUGUUUUCGGUGACGAAUAAAUGACGGUAACCGAGUAGGAAGCCACGGCUAACUACGUGCCAGCAGCCGCGGUAAUACGUAGGUGGCAAGCGUUAUCCGGAAUUACUGGGUGUAAAGGGAGCGCAGGCGGGAUAGCAAGUCAGUUGUGAAAACUAUGGGCUCAACCCAUAGAUUGCAGUUGAAACUGUUAUUCUUGAGUGGAGUAGAGGCAAGCGGAAUUCCGAGUGUAGCGGUGAAAUGCGUAGAUAUUCGGAGGAACACCAGUGGCGAAGGCGGCUUGCUGGGCUCUAACUGACGCUGAGGCUCGAAAGUGUGGGGAGCAAACAGGAUUAGAUACCCUGGUAGU